This 253-nucleotide ribosomal RNA is filed under the name uncultured bacterium. RNAcentral's name for it is "partial 16S ribosomal RNA". It matches the Rfam family "Bacterial small subunit ribosomal RNA", at positions 524 to 776 of the family's 1533-position model. The record is from RNAcentral.
UACGAAGGGGGCUAGCGUUGUUCGGAAUCACUGGGCGUAAAGGGCGCGUAGGCGGCCGAUCAAGUCGGGGGUGAAAGCCUGUGGCUCAACCACAGAAUUGCCUUCGAUACUGUUUGGCUUGAGACCGGAAGAGGUAAGUGGAACUGCGAGUGUAGAGGUGAAAUUCGUAGAUAUUCGCAAGAACACCAGUGGCGAAGGCGGCUUACUGGUCCGGUUCUGACGCUGAGGCGCGAAAACGUGGGGAGCAAACAGG